This 212-nucleotide small nucleolar RNA is filed under the name Cucumis melo (muskmelon). RNAcentral's name for it is "Plant small nucleolar RNA U3". It matches the Rfam family "Plant small nucleolar RNA U3". From Rfam's summary of the family: Small nucleolar RNAs (snoRNAs) are involved in the processing and modification of rRNA in the nucleolus. There are two main classes of snoRNAs: the box C/D class, and the box H/ACA class. RNAcentral also lists the same sequence under 1 other name. Lineage: Eukaryota; Viridiplantae; Streptophyta; Magnoliopsida; Cucurbitales; Cucurbitaceae. The record is from Rfam by way of RNAcentral.
ACGACCUUACUUGAACAGGAUCUGUUCUAUAGGUUGUACAUCUGUGUCCUUGAGUUCUAAGGAGACAAGAACCAAAGUCUGGUGGAUGAAUUCUCAUGCCUUGAGGCUAGAGCGUGAUUAACAGUUCAACAGACCUUCGUCUGGCGGCUGUAGAGGAUCGUUCUUGGCAGGCUUCAACCUGCUGGGAUGGCCACAAGGCGGCCUGACAGACC